GGAUUCACUUCCGAGUCUAUGUUUUCAUAUACCCUUUAUAAUUGAAGUCGAUGAAUGUAUUAGGCUUUGGCCAAUAAAACAAUACAACUUUCAACAAUGGAUCUCUUGGUUCUCGCAUCGAUGAAGAACGCAGCGAAUUGCGAUAUGUAAUGUGAAUUGCAGAAUUCAGUGAAUCAUCGAAUCUUUGAACGCACCUUGCGCCCUUUGGUAUUCCGAAGGGCAUGCCUGUUUGAGUGUCAUUAAAUUCUCAACUUCAACACUUUUUUGUAUUGAAGCUUGGAUGUUGGAGGGUCUUGCGGGCAUAUAUUAAUGUCAGCUCCUCUUAAAUGCAUUAGCAGAACCUGUGUUCGGCUCUGGUUUGAUAAUCCUAUCUAUGCCAUUGCUGAAAUGUCAUUGUUCAGCUUCUAAUGGUCCAUUGGACUGUCUCUUCAGAGGCAUAUAUUUUGACUUGACCUCA
RNAcentral lists this ribosomal RNA (457 nucleotides) under uncultured fungus. Its description in RNAcentral is "eukaryotic LSU rRNA". The stretch from base 86 to 239 matches the Rfam family "5.8S ribosomal RNA". Lineage: Eukaryota; Fungi. The record is from RNAcentral.